This 167-nucleotide ribosomal RNA is filed under the name uncultured Gammaproteobacteria bacterium. RNAcentral's name for it is "partial 16S ribosomal RNA". It matches the Rfam family "Bacterial small subunit ribosomal RNA", at positions 338 to 500 of the family's 1533-position model. Lineage: Bacteria; Pseudomonadati; Pseudomonadota; Gammaproteobacteria. The record is from RNAcentral.
CCUACGGGAGGCAGCAGUGGGGAAUAUUGCACAAUGGGCGCAAGCCUGAUGCAGCCAUGCCGCGUGUAUGAAGAAGGCCUUCGGGUUGUAAAGUACUUUCAGCGAGGAGGAAGGUGCUGUGGUUAAUAACCGCAGCAAUUGACGUUACUCGCAAAAAAGAUGGCUAA